AGUGAACGCUGGCGGUAGGCCUAACACAUGCAAGUCGAACGGCAGCACAGUAAGAGCUUGCUCUUACGGGUGGCGAGUGGCGGACGGGUGAGGAAUACAUCGGAAUCUACUUUUUCGUGGGGGAUAACGUAGGGAAACUUACGCUAAUACAGCAUACGACCUACGGGUGAAAGCAGGGGAUCGUCGGACCUUGCGCGAUUGAAUGAGCCGAUGUCGGAUUAGCUAGUUGGCGGGGUAAAGGCCCACCAAGGCGACGAUCCGUAGCUGGUCUGAGAGGAUGAUCGGCCACACUGGAACUUAGACACGGUCCAGACUCCUACGGGAGGCAGCAGUGGGGAAUAUUGGACAAUGGGCGCAAGCCUGAUCCAGCCAUCCCGCGUGGGUGAAGACGGCCUUCGGGUUGUAAAGCCCUUUUGUUGGGAAAGAAAAGCAUCAGGUUAAUACCCCGCUGUUCUGACGGUACCCAAAGAAUAAGCACCGGCUAACUUCGUG
This 492-nucleotide ribosomal RNA is filed under the name uncultured bacterium. Its description in RNAcentral is "partial 16S ribosomal RNA". It matches the Rfam family "Bacterial small subunit ribosomal RNA", at positions 29 to 507 of the family's 1533-position model. The record is from RNAcentral.